Molecule: ribosomal RNA, 443 nt
Filed under: Acanthamoeba sp.
Lineage: Eukaryota; Discosea; Longamoebia; Acanthamoebidae
Description: SSU rRNA
Rfam family: Eukaryotic small subunit ribosomal RNA
Source: RNAcentral
UUAGAGUGUUCAAAGCAGGCAGAUCCAAUUUUCUGCCACCGAAUACAUUAGCAUGGGAUAAUGGAAUAGGACCCUGUCCUCCUAUUUUCAGUUGGUUUUGGCAGCGCGAGGACUAGGGUAAUGAUUAAUAGGGAUAGUUGGGGGCAUUAAUAUUUAAUUGUCAGAGGUGAAAUUCUUGGAUUUAUGAAAGAUUAACUUCUGCGAAAGCAUCUGCCAAGGAUGUUUUCAUUAAUCAAGAACGAAAGUUAGGGGAUCGAAGACGAUCAGAUACCGUCGUAGUCUUAACCAUAAACGAUGCCGACCAGCGAUUAGGAGACGUUGAAUACAAAACACCACCAUCGGCGCGGUCGUCCUUGGCGUGUCUCGGCUUCACGGCCGGGGCGCGCGAGGGCGGUUUAGCCCGGUGGCACCGGUGAAUGACUCCCCUAGCAGCUUGUGAGAAA